Molecule: ribosomal RNA, 449 nt
Filed under: uncultured Gammaproteobacteria bacterium
Lineage: Bacteria; Pseudomonadati; Pseudomonadota; Gammaproteobacteria
Description: bacterial SSU rRNA
Rfam family: Bacterial small subunit ribosomal RNA
Source: RNAcentral
GCGGUAACAUUUCUAGCUUGCUACCNNCUGUCGAGAGGCGGACGGGUGAGUAACGCGUAUGAAUCUACCCCGUUGUGGGGGACAACCCGUGGAAACGCUGGUUAAUACCGCAUACGCCCUACGGGGGAAAGCAGGGGAUCUUCGGACCUUGCGCUAUUCGAUGAGCCUGCGUGAGAUUAUCUUGUUGGUGAGGUAAUGGCUCACCAAGGCGACAAUAUCUCUCUGGUCUGAGAGGAUGAUCACCCACACUGGGACUGAGACACGGCCCACACUCCUACGGGAGGCAGCAGUGGGGAAUAUUGCACAAUGGGCGCAAGCCUGAUGCACCCCUACCGCGUGUGUGAAAAAAGCUUUCUGGUUGUAAAGCACUUUCUUUUGUGAGGAAAGGGUUGUGGUUAAUACCCGUUAUCUGUGACGUUAACUGCAAAAAAAACACCGGCUAACUCCNU